RNAcentral lists this ribosomal RNA (275 nucleotides) under uncultured Lysobacter sp. RNAcentral's name for it is "partial 16S ribosomal RNA". It matches the Rfam family "Bacterial small subunit ribosomal RNA", at positions 338 to 605 of the family's 1533-position model. Lineage: Bacteria; Pseudomonadati; Pseudomonadota; Gammaproteobacteria; Lysobacterales; Lysobacteraceae. The record is from RNAcentral.
CCUACGGGUGGCUGCAGUGGGGAAUAUUGGACAAUGGGCGCAAGCCUGAUCCAGCCAUGCCGCGUGGGUGAAGAAGGCCUUCGGGUUGUAAAGCCCUUUUGUCCGGAAAGAAAAGUCCUGGGUUAAUACCUUGGGAUCAUGACGGUACCGGAAGAAUAAGCACCGGCUAACUUCGUGCCAGCAGCCGCGGUAAUACGAAGGGUGCAAGCGUUACUCGGAAUUACUGGGCGUAAAGCGUGCGUAGGUGGUUUGUUAAGUCUGAUGUGAAAGCCCUG